UGAACGCUGGCGGCAUGCCUAACACAUGCAAGUCGAACGGAAACGAUGGAAGCUUGCUUCCAGGCGUCGAGUGGCGGACGGGUGAGUAAUGCUUAGGAAUCUGCCCAGUAGUGGGGGACAACUCGGGGAAACCCGAGCUAAUACCGCAUACGCCCUACGGGGGAAAGCGGGGGAUCUUCGGACCUCGCGCUAUUGGAUGAGCCUAAGUCGGAUUAGCUUGUUGGUGAGGUAAAGGCUCACCAAGGCGACGAUCCGUAGCUGGUCUGAGAGGACGAUCAGCCACACUGGGACUGAGACACGGCCCAGACUCCUACGGGAGGCAGCAGUGGGGAAUAUUGGACAAUGGGGGCAACCCUGAUCCAGCAAUGCCGCGUGUGUGAAGAAGGCCUGCGGGUUGUAAAGCACUUUCAGUAGAGAAGAAAAGCCUACGGUUAAUAACCGUGAGUCUUGACGUAACCUACAGAAGAAGCUCCGGCUAACUCC
This 483-nucleotide ribosomal RNA is filed under the name uncultured bacterium. Its description in RNAcentral is "bacterial SSU rRNA". It matches the Rfam family "Bacterial small subunit ribosomal RNA", at positions 30 to 504 of the family's 1533-position model. The record is from RNAcentral.